GACAGAGGGUGCAAGCGUUGUUCGGAAUUAUUGGGCGUAAAGCGCGCGUAGGCGGCCGGGUAAGUCGAAUGUGAAAUCCCGUGGCUUAACCAUGGAAGUGCAUUCGAAACUACCUGGCUGGAGUGUCGGAGAGGGUGGUGGAAUUCCCAGUGUAGAAGUGAAAUUCGUAGAUAUUGGGAGGAACACCAGUGGCGAAGGCGACCACCUGGACGACAACUGACGCUGAGGCGCGAGAGCGUGGGGAG
This 245-nucleotide ribosomal RNA is filed under the name uncultured bacterium. RNAcentral describes it as "partial 16S ribosomal RNA". It matches the Rfam family "Bacterial small subunit ribosomal RNA", at positions 524 to 768 of the family's 1533-position model. The record is from RNAcentral.